AUGAGGCAAAGUAUCAAAGUGAUAGAACAAAGUGGCUGGAGGAGAAAAUGACACUCAUACAUCAAGGAAAAGAAGCUGAGAUCCUUCACAACAGGGAAAUGAGAAAAUUUGAGGAGGAAAGAGAGCACCACGUAAAGAAACAAGCAGAAAUUGAAAGUCUUGCUGCUGCACAGCUGGCAGAAAAGGACAGCAGUCUUCAAAAGUAGCAUGAAGAAAGAGAUAAAUUAGUAGAAGCUUUGGAAAUACAGCUCAAGACUUUGGUUUCUAACACCACACAAAAAGAUAAGGAAAUAGCAGAACUGAAACAGGCUGCACUAAAGGAUUUGGGAAAGGCUAAGGAAACUGAUACAGAAGAACUAAGGAAACAGCUGGCUGAGAAAGAUGACUUUAUAAAGGAGCUGAAACAGCAGGUUAACUAUGAAAGUCUUCUGUCUAUGGCAGAAGUACCUUUACCAGAAGAAGGACUAUCUGAAAUAGAUCAGACUGUAAACAAAGAGGACCAUUCUGAAAUUGCGCUUGACUCGUCUGAAGUGUCUACAGAAAAUGGAAAAACUAGUCAGUUCACAAAACCAGAGAUAAAAAUCCAGUUCACACCUUUGCAACCCAGUAAGAUGGAGGUGAAGCACCAGGGCAGCCCCAUACCAGUUACAGUUAAAAUGCUCAAGCCAAGAAAGAAAAGAAAAAGUGAAGAGAUGGAUGAGGUAUGCCCUAGACCAACUGA
Neopsephotus bourkii (Bourke's parrot) is the source of this 721-nucleotide long non-coding RNA. RefSeq lists it as uncharacterized. The transcript is spliced from 4 exons. The record is from RefSeq and is a predicted model, not a curated record. Lineage: Eukaryota; Metazoa; Chordata; Aves; Psittaciformes; Psittacidae.